This 205-nucleotide ribosomal RNA is filed under the name uncultured bacterium. Its description in RNAcentral is "partial 16S ribosomal RNA". It matches the Rfam family "Bacterial small subunit ribosomal RNA", at positions 570 to 775 of the family's 1533-position model. The record is from RNAcentral.
CGUAGGUGGUUUCUUAAGUCAGGAGUGAAAGGCUACGGCUUAACCGUAGUAAGCUCUUGAAACUGGGAAACUUGAGUGCAGGAGAGGAAAGUGGAAUUCCUAGUGUAGCGGUGAAAUGCGUAGAUAUUAGGAGGAACACCAGUAGCGAAGGCGGCUUUCUGGACUGUAACUGACACUGAGGCACGAAAGCGUGGGGAGCAAACAA